UUAUGUAAGGGUAAUUUGGCUACAACAUAUGUCACCCAAUUGAUUGCCAUGGUUGAUUCAGUGAAUCUGGCUGGCUAAACAAGUGUCCUGUCCUCCUUCAUCAAUUCAUGUGCCUUCCUCUCCAACCUGUGCUUUUUAUCAAAGAAAGAGGUCUUUAUAGAGGAGGUCAUUCUCUGAUAGAGAACCACUCUUUGGUAAAGGAUGUACAAGUAGCUCUGGUGCACUGCUAGAACCUCCAAUAAGUGUUCAGCAUCCAUUUGUAGGAGAAUGAAGACUAGUCAAACUUCCAAGACUCCAGACACAUUCAAUGAAAUUCUGCAUGUGGCAGUCCAUACUUUUU
Molecule: small nuclear RNA, 340 nt
Filed under: Tupaia belangeri chinensis (Chinese tree shrew)
Lineage: Eukaryota; Metazoa; Chordata; Mammalia; Scandentia; Tupaiidae
Description: Tupaia chinensis (Chinese tree shrew) 7SK RNA
Rfam family: 7SK RNA
About the family: 7SK was discovered as an abundant small nuclear RNA in the mid-70s but a possible function has only recently been suggested.
Source: Rfam by way of RNAcentral